This 341-nucleotide ribosomal RNA is filed under the name Mica tardus. RNAcentral describes it as "partial 16S ribosomal RNA". The stretch from base 61 to 341 matches the Rfam family "Bacterial large subunit ribosomal RNA", at positions 2079 to 2620 of the family's 2925-position model. The record is from RNAcentral. Lineage: Eukaryota; Metazoa; Arthropoda; Malacostraca; Isopoda; Porcellionidae.
AUUUUCUUAUUAUUUAUAUUAAAUUUAUAUUUAGAUAAAAAAGUCUAUUUAAUCUAGAAAGACGAUAAGACCCUAAAACCUUUAUUAGCUAUUUGGCUUUUUUACUGGGGCGGUGAAAUAUAAUAUCAUAGCUUUUCUUAACAUGUCGAAUGAUGUCUUCUAACUCAAAUCAUAUGCAACGAGGUACUUUAGGGAUAACAGCAUAAUUUUUAUUUAGAGUAGCGUAUCGUCAUAGAAGAUUGUGACCUCGAUGUUGAAUUGAUAUAACUUUGUUAAGCAGCAAUAAUUUAAGUAGGUCUGUUCGACCUUUAAAAUAUCACAUGAUCUGAGCUCAAACCGGA